CAGCAAGUUCAGGAUCAUUUUAACAGGACCAUAUCCAAAACCUCAAUUGAGCAAAUACCAUAUUAGAAGAGCUAGGAAAAAAAAUAGAUACAAAACUAACUAUAAACUAACAGUUUAACAAUUAAACAUUAUAAAUUCCCUUUUUAUUCCUUAAUCUCCAUUUUUGAGCAUCACAUUGUGUGAGUUUCAAAAAUGUGUACCUGGUAUUGAAUAAACAAAACCGACAGAAGGUGAGAUAUCAGCAGGCAGCAGCAGGUUAGCAGAAUCAACACAACUUAUACCAAUUCAAGCCAGAAAAUGAAGUGAAAUAGCUCAGAAAAUCACUUCAGUCCAAACAAUGAACUAGAAAACCUCAAACUAGGCUUGAUCCUAAUUCAUUUCAACCCAAAGGAAGCAUGAAUUGUUUCAGUAAUUGAGGAUCUCACCACUUGAAGCAAAAAAUCAAUAGAACAGUGUUUUUAUCCAAUUUUUAGCCAUUUCUAAUUCUUUGGGGAUUUCUUUUACUUAAUCACCUAGAAAUCCAUAAAACAGUAACAGUUUAUCUGUUUUUUUUUUUUUUUUUUUUUUUUUUCUGGGUUCUCAACUCUCUCACCCAAAAACCAUGCCUUUAAAGGAAAGCUUAGGAUUCCUUUUAUAGGCAACCCAAGUAGGGAAGACUUCAUAUUCUGAUUUUGCACCUUUUUCCUCUUUUGGUUUCCAAUUUUGCCUAGAUAUCCUCUAACUAUUGACUUGUUACCCAAGUUAAACCACCCAAAAAUCUGAAAUUCUCCUAAAACCCUUACUAGAAGCUUCUGUUAUCAGUUACCAAGGAUUCCCCUAUCCUAAACUUCCUAAAUUACCCCUCUGAUACCCCUGUUACUACCUUGGUUAAUUAGCUACCUUCCAACUCAUAUGUCAAGUUGACCCAAUCAUUUACACCCAACCUAGACUGGCCUCUUUCUUUGGGUUUUCAAACCUAACAUGAACCCAACCCAGUUCAGUAUUUACUGACAAAAUCCAACUCUGAAUGAAAUCCAUAGAAAUAGAAGCAAUUCGGGCAAAACUCCUACUAAUUCCAAUUGAUGCAACUAAAUACUUAGUGAGAUUUGAAAAAAUUCUUAAACUUCUUAACAAAAUUAACGGGCAUAUAAUUAACAUUCUGAAAUUAGAACACUUAAGAUUUUAAAGCACGGGAAGAAGCAGAAAACAAAAAACAAAACAAAAACAAAUAAACUAGAGAAAGAAAAGGAAGUACCCAAGAAAAGAUUCAGGAGAUGAGAGAAGGAGCCUGGGUCUUCAUGCAUUAUUGGAAAAACUGGAAAACCCUAGAUUUGGGUUUUGAGCGGUUGUGGAGGUAUUUGAGUGAGGUUGAGUAUGGAUUUGGCAUAAGGGAGGCAAUGGGGGUUGCAGGGUGUAAAUUUGAGGUGAUUUGAGGGUGGCGCCGCCGCACACGGCGGAGGAGCCAUAGUUUCAAACCAAUACUCGACGGUAUGGGGUGGGAUUCGAGGGAAGCUGG
Molecule: long non-coding RNA, 1495 nt
Filed under: Nicotiana benthamiana
Lineage: Eukaryota; Viridiplantae; Streptophyta; Magnoliopsida; Solanales; Solanaceae
Description: long non-coding RNA (NBEN_LNC033790)
Source: RNAcentral